AAGCAUCUGCAAAAAAGAAAGAGUGUAAGUGUAUCCAGUUCUACUGAUUAUGCUGGAAACUAAGUUUUCAUUGCACUUUGUGAGGCUUCAAUAAGUGAUUAUUUCGGACUUCUAUGAAUGUAAUUCUUUUUGUAUCACAGUGGAGUUGAAAUUUUCCUUUCCAUUGCUUUUGGACUCUCUAAUCUAUUGGUUGUUAAUGCUUACUAAAUGACUUCCCUGAUUUUCUCCUCAGCUGGAAAGUCAUCUGUUCUAUUGG
RNAcentral lists this unclassified non-coding RNA (256 nucleotides) under Hevea brasiliensis (rubber tree). Lineage: Eukaryota; Viridiplantae; Streptophyta; Magnoliopsida; Malpighiales; Euphorbiaceae. The record is from RNAcentral.